UACGAAGGGUGCUAGCGUUGUUCGGAAUUACUGGGCGUAAAGCGCGCGUAGGCGGCUUAUCAAGUCAGAGGUGAAAUCCCCAGGCUCAACCUGGGAAUUGCCUUUGAAACUGUUAGGCUUGAGUGUCGGAGGGGAUAGCGGAAUUGCUAAUGUAGAGGUGAAAUUCGUAGAUAUUAGCAGGAACACCGGUGGCGAAGGCGGCUAUCUGGACGACAACUGACGCUGAGGCGCGAAAGCGUGGGGAUCAAACAGG
Molecule: ribosomal RNA, 253 nt
Filed under: uncultured bacterium
Lineage: Bacteria
Description: partial 16S ribosomal RNA
Rfam family: Bacterial small subunit ribosomal RNA
Source: RNAcentral